RNAcentral lists this ribosomal RNA (253 nucleotides) under uncultured bacterium. Its description in RNAcentral is "partial 16S ribosomal RNA". It matches the Rfam family "Bacterial small subunit ribosomal RNA", at positions 524 to 776 of the family's 1533-position model. RNAcentral also lists the same sequence under 2 other names. The record is from RNAcentral.
GACGGAGGGUGCAAACGUUGUUCGGAAUCACUGGGCGUAAAGGGCGCGUAGGCGGACUUGUAAGUCGGGAGUGAAAACUCGGGGCUCAACCCCGAGCCUGCUUCUGAAACUGCGAGUCUUGAGGACCGGAGAGGAAAGUGGAAUUCCUAGUGUAGCGGUGGAAUGCGUAGAUAUUAGGAAGAACACCAGUGGCGAAGGCGACUUUCUGGACGGUUCCUGACGCUGAGGCGCGAAAGCUAGGGGAGCAAACAGG